GACGAACGCUGGCGGCGUGCUUAACACAUGCAAGUCGAACGGAAAGGCCCUGCUUUUGUGGGGUGCUCGAGUGGCGAACGGGUGAGUAACACGUGAGUAACCUGCCCUUGACUUUGGGAUAACUUCAGGAAACUGGGGCUAAUACCGGAUAGGAUCUCCUGCUGCAUGGUGGGGGUUGGAAAGUUUCGGCGGUUGGGGCUGGACUCGCGGCUUAUCCGCUUGUUGGUGGGGUAGUGGCUUACCAAGGCUUUGACGGGUAGCCGGCCUGAGAGGGGGACCGGCCACAUUGGGACUGAGAUACGGCCCAGACUCCUACGGGAGGCAGCAGUGGGGAAUAUUGCACAAUGGGCGGGAGCCUGAUGCAGCAACGCCGCGUGCGGGAUGACGGCCUUCGGGUUGUAAACCGCUUUCGCCUGUGACGAAGCGUGAGUGACGGUAAUGGGUAAAGAAGCACCGGCUAACUACGUG
This 468-nucleotide ribosomal RNA is filed under the name uncultured bacterium. Its description in RNAcentral is "partial 16S ribosomal RNA". It matches the Rfam family "Bacterial small subunit ribosomal RNA", at positions 28 to 507 of the family's 1533-position model. The record is from RNAcentral.